RNAcentral lists this ribosomal RNA (158 nucleotides) under Dentiscutata savannicola. RNAcentral describes it as "5.8S ribosomal RNA". It matches the Rfam family "5.8S ribosomal RNA". From Rfam's summary of the family: 5.8S ribosomal RNA (5.8S rRNA) is a component of the large subunit of the eukaryotic ribosome. It is transcribed by RNA polymerase I as part of the 45S precursor that also contains 18S and 28S rRNA. The record is from RNAcentral. Lineage: Eukaryota; Fungi; Glomeromycota; Glomeromycetes; Diversisporales; Gigasporaceae.
AAACUUUCAACAAUGGAUCUCUUGGCUCUCGCAUCGAUGAAGAACGCAGCAAAAUGCGAUAGGUAAUAUGAAUUGCAGAAUUCCGUGAAUCAUCAAAUUUUUGAACGCAAAUUGCACUUCUUGGUAUUCCAAGAAGUACACAUGCUUGAGGGUUAGUU